GCGGAUCUAGCUUGCUAUGAAGCUUUCGACCUGGGACGGUCAGUGGCGGACGGGUGAGUAACGCGUGGGUAACCUGCCUCUGUCAGGGGGAUAACAGAUAGAAAUGCCUGCUAAUACCGCAUAAGCGCACAGCACCGCAUGGUGCAGUGUGAAAAGAUUUAUCGGACAGAGAUGGACCCGCGUUAGAUUAGCCAGUUGGCGGGUAACGGCCCACCAAAGCUACGAUCUAUAGCCGGCCUGAGAGGGCGACCGGCCACAUUGGGACUGAGACACGGCCCAAACUCCUACGGGAGGCAGCAGUGGGGAAUAUUGCACAAUGGGGGAAACCCUGAUGCAGCGAACCGCCGCGUGAGUGAAGAAGUAUUUCGGUAUGUAAAGCUCUAUCAGCAGGGAAGAAGAUGACGGUACCUGCACAAGAAGCCCCGGCUAACUACGUGCCAGCAGCCGC
This 448-nucleotide ribosomal RNA is filed under the name uncultured bacterium. RNAcentral describes it as "bacterial SSU rRNA". It matches the Rfam family "Bacterial small subunit ribosomal RNA", at positions 66 to 518 of the family's 1533-position model. The record is from RNAcentral.